Megalops atlanticus (tarpon) is the source of this 72-nucleotide non-coding RNA. The record is from the annotation of a GenBank genome assembly. Lineage: Eukaryota; Metazoa; Chordata; Actinopteri; Elopiformes; Megalopidae.
GCCAGUGUAGCAUACUGGUAAGGAGCAGGGCUUGUAACCAGGAGGUUGCUGGUUUGAUUCCCCCCUGGGGCA